This 254-nucleotide ribosomal RNA is filed under the name uncultured bacterium. RNAcentral's name for it is "partial 16S ribosomal RNA". It matches the Rfam family "Bacterial small subunit ribosomal RNA", at positions 524 to 776 of the family's 1533-position model. The record is from RNAcentral.
CACGUAGGGGGCAAGCGUUGUCCGGAUUUAUUGGGCGUAAAGAGCUCGUAGGCGGUUUCGUAAGUCGGGUGUGAAAACUCUAGGCUCAACCUAGAGACGCCACCCGAUACUGCGAUGACUAGAGUCCGGUAGGGGAGUGUGGAAUUCCUGGUGUAGCGGUGAAAUGCGCAGAUAUCAGGAGGAACACCAACGGCGAAGGCAGCACUCUGGGCCGGAACUGACGCUGAGGAGCGAAAGCGUGGGGAGCGAACAGG